CCCUCUGUAGCUCAACGUGCAGAGCACUGGUCUUGUAAAUCAGGGGUCUUGAGUUCAAUCCUCACAGGAGACA
This is a non-coding RNA of Acanthoscelides obtectus, 73 nucleotides long. The record is from the annotation of a GenBank genome assembly. Lineage: Eukaryota; Metazoa; Arthropoda; Insecta; Coleoptera; Chrysomelidae.